AUUGAACGCUGGCGGCAGGCCUAACACAUGCAAGUCGAGCGGAUGAAGGGAGCUUGCUCCUGGAUUCAGCGGCGGACGGGUGAGUAAUGCCUAGGAAUCUGCCUGGUAGUGGGGGAUAACGUCCGGAAACGGGCGCUAAUACCGCAUACGUCCUGAGGGAGAAAGUGGGGGAUCUUCGGACCUCACGCUAUCAGAUGAGCCUAGGUCGGAUUAGCUAGUUGGUGGGGUAAAGGCCUACCAAGGCGACGAUCCGUAACUGGUCUGAGAGGAUGAUCAGUCACACUGGAACUGGGACACGGUCCAGACUCCUACGGGAGGCAGCAGUGGGGAAUAUUGGACAAUGGGCGAAAGCCUGAUCCAGCCAUGCCGCGUGUGUGAAGAAGGUCUUCGGAUUGUAAAGCACUUUAAGUUGGGAGGAAGGGCAGUAAGUUAAUACCUUGCUGUUUUGACGUUACAAACAGAAUAAGCACCGGCUAACUUCGUG
This 484-nucleotide ribosomal RNA is filed under the name uncultured bacterium. Its description in RNAcentral is "partial 16S ribosomal RNA". It matches the Rfam family "Bacterial small subunit ribosomal RNA", at positions 30 to 507 of the family's 1533-position model. The record is from RNAcentral.